CUUCAAGCUUGUCAUAUAUGUAGUUUGGUAUUCAUAUAUAAUAUCAUAAUUAGUUAUAUAUAAGAAUUAGUUAUGUGUGUUAUUAUAUUGUAAUUGAAAAAUGAAGGAUAACCCUCACAGUCGCAAUCACUUUGUUAAAGCUUUCUUAUUUAUUCAUUUCUUGGGCAGCGCAAAGAAAAGUUGAAGAAAACUUGAUUUGAGAUAUGGUAGGGCACUUAUUGGACAUGUGAUUGAAAUAUGGAAUAUUAUUUAUAUUUAUUAUCACUCUAGCUACAACAUAUAUAAUAUAUAGAUAGUUGGUGGUGACUCUUCUACAUGCACAUAAAUAUUAUAAAGAUUGUAAGUAUAAAUAUAUGUAUAUAUAUUUAUAUUAGUUUUUUGUCAAAAUGUAAUCCAUCUUUGCAUUUUGAAAAUAGCAUAAACUAAGUUAUGAUGUAGUUUUUUAUGUAUUUUAGGUGGACAAGCUAAGCAUUUGACUCAACCCAAGGCUGAGAAGAAAGAGUAAGAUGAGCAUUUGGUUUUUCUCUUCUUUGCAUUAUUAUUUAAUUAUUUAAUUCAGAUUUGACUCACUUUCAUUAUAUUAUAACAUUGUAAAUGUGUGUAUGUGCUGAGACAGACUUCAAAGAAACUAUUUUGCAACAGUUUGCAAGAGGCUAAAACUCUACUUGGAUAUUUAAGAGAACCAAGGCAACACGAAAUUCUUCGUCAAGUUGUUGGUUAUUAUUUUCUUUCUUGUUUGUAAGAAUUAUGUAUAGUGAGGAUUUGAUGUAUUAUUUACAUCGAGAAUAAUGAAUUUUUAUUGAGAAUUAUAAUGAAUUUUCAUUGACUUAUUUAGUCUCAUGGGGAUUUGAUGUAUUAUUUACAUUUCAAUUGUAUGAAUAAAUGUUGUAUGUAUAUGAAUUUUUAUUAUGAUAAAUGUAAU
Long non-coding RNA from Humulus lupulus (European hop), 922 nucleotides. RefSeq lists it as uncharacterized. The transcript is spliced from 2 exons. Lineage: Eukaryota; Viridiplantae; Streptophyta; Magnoliopsida; Rosales; Cannabaceae. The record is from RefSeq and is a predicted model, not a curated record.